CCACCCCCGCCGCCGCCGCCGCCGCCGCCGCCGCCGCCGCCGCCGCCCCUCCGCCUGCCUCGGGGCUGCCGGUGCCGGGCGGCGCCGAAGCCGCCCCGAGUCCGCGGCUCCGGAUUUUCCCAAGAGCACGAGGAAGAGCCUGGCCCGUGCGGGGGAUGCUGUCAGUGGCCGCGUUCUUCGUCUUCUUCAGGCAGUUGAGAAAAGCCAUUGCCAGAACUGACAUCUGACUGUUGUUUGCACUGACAUGCUGCUUGGACUUUCAGCCUUCAAAACUGCAGACAUGGCGGAUCUAUAUCUGGAGCUGAAGGCAGUAAGAAGAGAGAGAGACACUGGACCUGGCUUUAGCUUCGGAAACCUCAAAGCCCAUGCCCUGCGACACACUUCCUCCUACAAGGCCACUCCCUAUGACCUAUGGGGGCUGUUUUCAUUCAAACCAUCACACUGGGUAUGGUGUUAUUCAUUGAAACAUGGGUUUCUUACGAAAGCUCACACCACUGAAGAAAAGUGAUCCCUUCUCUCAUAGCAGCCCUUACCAGCUGCUAAUGGUUUCUCAACGAAGGGUAGAGCCUUAUGAGCCCUUCCCCCAUCUUUGCUGAAACGUCCGUGGGCUCCAUCUUGUACAGGUCUUGUGCAGGUAACCACAACUGCUGUGAGUUCACAAGUGCUAUGGUGUGUCGUGUCUAGAAAACAGCACCUCUCUGUAUCCUUCAGCUCUUGCCCCACAUACACUCUUCUGCAAUUUUCCUUGAGUCUUGGAAUGGGAUAGAAGGGUACUAAAGAUGUCUCAUUUAGGAUUGAACACUCAAUAGUUUCUUAACACUUUGGCCAGUUAAGUAUCUCUACACUAACCCCUGCCCACAGCAAAAUGAAGCCUUUCUGACCAGUCUGAAUAGCACCAAAGAUCUAUGGGUAUAAACAAAUAUUUAGAAAACUGUUUCACAUGUCCAUUUGCAAAACAAUCAGGGACCUAUUACCUUCCUUGUCGUGGGAUUUUGAUAAGACUUACAGCAAUAAGCAUGGAUUUCCUCCUACGGAGCAGGCAUCAAUUCUAUCAAAAAGUGGUUGGCUACCUUCAUGACUAGUAUGCCACUAUUGCCCCAUGGGCACGCUUGCCUGGAAAGUCAGUAUUGCAGCACACUCCCCCAGCAGCUUGCACAGCACCUCAGUACUAUGAACAGCCAGAAGGGAGGAAGCUUCCAGUUCAAUUCCAACUUGAUUUCUGCAUGUGCUAUAACCCAAGUGUGUGGUGUCUUCAUCUUACCAUGCAUUUCUGGUGGGAAUCAAGAACAGUGGUAAUAACUUGUAUUGUUUGAGGCCUCUCUGACCAACUCAUAAAGAAGUAUCUAAUUCUUGUCAUUAGAUUUUCAUUUAAUAAUAUAUGGCUUUUUGAAAACAGCAUUAUCCACCCAUGCAGGCUAGUGCCAUGCAAAUGCUCUUGUUUAGAUUAUAAUUUUAAAUUCAUUUAUGAAGCAAUAAAUUUCCAUAUGGCUUUUUAAUAAACCUUUCUUUUUUAAUUUUGGAUAAUACUUCCUCUACUCUCUCCUUCAACAUUCUAUACCACUGCUUAAAACCUUUCUAUUCCCAGUACACCCCCCCCUCCACUUUCAAAUCACGUGGUGUUCUACGGUCCUUUACUCCACCAGGCCUCUCCCCUCUUCCUCUCAUGGGCUCUUUACUGACAGCUUUUAAAAGCUCAUCCUAUUAAGUACUGUUUUUCAGACCCAUUCAUAUUCUUAUUUAACUUGUCUAAUCUUGCAUUUAAGAUCUUAGAGAUCUCAUGUCUUAUGAAGUUUAGCUCAACUUCUAAAUUUAUUUAGGCUGUUGAGUUAGUUUUCAAGCCUAGAAAAUAAGAAGCUUUAUGUGGUAACUGUUGCUUGAGUUAAGUUUUGACUAUUAUAGGUUAACUAGAGACAUUUUAGUUCAAACUCAUUUUUAACCCUUACUAGUUCUGCAAUCUGUAUCCAUCCUUCCCUGACCCUAAUGAGCCAUAAAGGGCUUAUAUAUGUGUGCAUUCAUGAGUAUGAGUGUGUGUGUGUGUGUGUGUGUGUGUGUGUGUGUGUGUGUGUGUGUGUGUGUGUGUGUGUGUGUGUGUGUGGUGUGUGUGUGUGUGUGUGUGUGUGUGUGAGUGUGUGUGAGUGUGUGUGUGUGAGUGUGAGUGUGUGUGAGUGUGUGUGUGUGAGUGUGUGUGUGUGUGUGUGUGUGUGUGUGUGUGUGUGUGUGAAAACUAAGUGAGAGUGGGAAAAUCCAGUGCUUAUUAGAUGUAUGCUGUUCUAUUACUCUACAAUCAAAACAUGAGACAUCAAGUAGAGUCAUAGCAGAACUGUGAUCCAUAUGAAAACAUCAUUAUUUUUAUGGCCUUAACAGUUUCUUCUACUAACGUGUCAGCUUUUCUUUUUAUGGUGAUUGUUAUGUUUUCUGCCAAUAGAGAUUAAAAUCAUCUUGAGUUAAUAUAUAAAACCCCUUAUUCUGUAAACCACUUCCUCUUCUUAUUUCCUCUUUAACCAUACUCUCUACACAGUGAGUCAACACACUCUUUCUCUUUCCUCCCCCUUCCCUCUUCUGUUCUCCCUUCCUCCCCUUCCUCUUUCCCCUUUCUCUUUUUUCCAUCCCUAUUGCUUAUUCUCAAUAAUUCACUGUGCUGCACAGUUCAUUCCUUUACUAACCAGAAAUUCUUCUUCAUCUUUGACUCUGUGCUACCAUACUAAUUACUGCUAGGAUCUCAGUGCUUUAGUGCUAUGCUUGCUUCCCACAUAACGGCUUCUUAGGACAGGAAGGUGAGUUGCACUUCUGUGUUAUAGACAAUUUUCACAGCAGCAAUGGAUGAACUGAAUGGAGUAUCAGUGUGAGUCCUUCAGGUGAUAACAGCUACAAGACAUAGUUUCCAUUCUUUAUGAAAAAUCCAUUUGUUUUUAUGUAAAAAGAAACAUGCCCAAAACGUUGCUUUUUAGAACUGAUCAUCAUUGAAAGUGGUGUGCAUCCACAGAAAAUUUAGAAUCUGUAUUUAGGAUUUGCACUUCUAACAUGAUGUCACAGUAGGCUAAAUACCUCUGAGGGAAUCUUCCUUUAUAGGAUAUUUUUGAUAGGAUAUAUCAAGAGGGUUAUUGACUUUACAAAUCAAAAUAAUUCUCUAUGAAUAAUCUCUGAUAUUCCAAAACGGAGCUGCACAGCUUUGAGCAGGGCACUGUGCAUGUCCUGGUUAGGUUUCUAUUGCUGUGAUACACUCUGUGACCAAAAGCAACUUGGGUAGGGAAGGGUUUGUUUCACCUUGCAGACUUGCCUAUAGGCCAGUGUGAUGGAGGCAUUUUCCCAGUUGAGGUUUUUAAAUGAGCCUAGCUUGUGUCAAAAUUGUACAUGCUCAAAAACUUCUCUAAUAGUUUUUUAAUAUCAAAACAAGGAGGUAGAGUAUAGAGUAAAGAACAUAAAUAUAAACAUAGUAAUGUUAUUGUUGUUAUUCUUAGAUUAGGUGGAUUCUAUUGAUAUUUGUUUUAUUAUUUUCAUAACUUGCUAACAUUUUUUUCAUGUAUCUUUUGUAAGACAAAAAUACAAACCCAGGUACAGAUAUUGGGGUUCGAGCUUCAAGCUGAAGAUCAGAGAAGCAAAGCAGGAAGGCCACUAGCUCUUCCUCUACCUUGGGCUGAAAGGGCUGUCCUCAGCAUGGCUGGAGAAUAAAUCUCUCCACCAAGCCUCAGACUGCAAUCCCAGACUGCUGCCUUUAUCUUUUAUACCUCUCAAAUCCUGGGAUUAAAUGUGUGUGAUCCCACAUGCUAAGAUCACCUUUGUGAACUGUUUCUCUUUCAGACUUGAUCAAUUUCAUGUAACUCAGUGUGGCCUUGAACUAACAGAGAUGCAUCUGCUUGUCUCUUGAGUCCUGAGAUUAAAGGUGUGUUCUUGGCUCUAUGGUUAACUAGUGUGGCUGCUGGGGUUAAAGGUGUGUAUCACCAUUUCCUAGCUCUAUGACUUGUGGCUAGUUUUGCUUUCUGUACCUUCAGGCAAGCUUCAAUAAAUCAUAAAUAAUAUAUCACCACAAUCUUUGUUGUAUUAUUUCAACUUAUUUGUAUUUAAAUGAAAAUAUUCAAUUCAUUUUUAAGAUAAAAAACUUUAAUGAUAUUUGUAUGUGUAUCUGUAGGAAAGGUGUGUGUGUGAGAGAGUUUAGUUGCCUGCAGAGGCCAGAGGUAUUAGAGCUGGUAAUCCCUGGAGCUGGAUUACAGGUUUUUAUGAACUUCCUGUCCCAGGUGGGUGCUGGGUACUGAACUUUGUUCCUCUGUAAAAGCAAUAUGUACUCUUAACCACUGAUUGAUUCAUCUUUCCAGUCCCUUAAACUUACAUUUUCACAACUUACUAUUUUAAAUUUUAAAAUGUAAGAUUGAAUGACACAAUAACAUUCCUGCUCUAUCCACAAAGUUUAACAAUUAUUAACCCAUUGCCAAAUUAAAAAAAUUUCUAUGUGUAUCUACAUAUUCAUUUUUGCUGAAGUAAUUGAAAUCAUUUGAAAUCUAACUGCUAAAUACUUAUUAUCCUACUUGUAAGGACAGGAAUGUUCUUCUUUACCAUAAGGGAAUCAAUUCUCCCAAUAAAGUUAAUGAUUUCAUAGUUUAAAAUCCAAUCCAUUGUAAAAUUCAUAGGUAAAAUUAAAGAAAUACCAGUUGACUCAUGUGACACAUGGAUGAACUCUGAAAACAUCAUGCUGAGUGAAAGAAGUUAAACAUAAAAGGCCAUAUGGUGUGGUUCUAUUUAUAUGAAAUUUCUAGAGUAG
Molecule: long non-coding RNA, 4753 nt
Filed under: Cricetulus griseus (Chinese hamster)
Lineage: Eukaryota; Metazoa; Chordata; Mammalia; Rodentia; Cricetidae
Description: lncRNA (ENSCGRG00015041802.1)
Source: RNAcentral